UAAUAAUCAUAAACUUCAACGUUUUCAAUAAGUAUUUCCUUUGGAUGAAAGAGCAAAGAGACUGAAUUAUGCCAGCUUUAGUAAUUUAUUUACCACAUUUAUCUCCCUGCCAGGCUCUCCUCAGAUGAAGCACAACAUUACUUUCAGCAUUAGGGACAUCAUCUCAGGAUCGGAGCCUCUGAGAGGAGGCCCCUAAGCAUAACUCCCAGAAGUUCUUGUAGGUCCUGAUUUUCACAGAAGUGUCUCCAGUCCACAGGAGAAGAUGUGUGGGGGUAGGGAGAGGAGAGAAAAGGUUUCAGCGAUGGAUAAAAUGCUUUAAGUGUGUGACGAAGACACAGCCAUAGAACUACAAGUCAGAAUGCUCCAAGAGGCAAGGCCACCGCCACCCCUUCGCUGAAAAAAAGAGAAGACAUAGCUCAGCUGGAAGAUCGCUUCUAUUGCUGUUGAAAGAAUCUUCUGGGGCUGUUCAAAGUGGGCCCAAUUUGCCAUGAUGUCCUCAGAGAGACAGAGAGCAAAGAGCCAAAGAGAAAAAAAGUCAGUUCCCCGUGGACAUUAGGAAGACUGCUCUGGCCCCAAACUCUGGGCUCAGGGUUUGAUUCCAAGUGGAAGUGGCCAUUCCAGGCCAAAUGCUUGCAUGGUCCUCCUCUCGGCCAGACCCACAGGACUCCCUUCCACAGAACUUUCUCCAAAUCCCAUCCCUGGAUUUUUCAUGCGGCAUCUCAGUCACCACAAUGGCCUGGGACAAAGUCCUUGGAACAGGGCAGCGUCUCCUCCUCCCUCCGGCGAGCCUCGGUGCAGGUGUCCAAGACAAAGGCCAGGAAAGACUCGUUAAGGGCUGGUUGCUGAAAUUGGCAAUAGUCAGGCUGCGAGUUCCGGGAAGGGCUCCUCUGCGUCCGAGACUGCAGAACUGGGAAAGGGAUGAGAGCUCUCCUAUCAGCCGCCUCCGGGGCCUGCCUCCUCCAGGAACUUGGCAUCAAAGUUAAGAAAGAGUCCUUCAUCAGCUUUCAUGUCAUUGCUGGAUAUUAGACUCCUAAUAUGGGGAGACAUUGAGUUGGGCAUAGAAAAUAUUCUGGUCCACGCUGACAGCCACAUCGCAAAACUCCUGGUUCUUUCUCUGUUCAUUGAGGGCCUGCAUCACAAAACUGUUGUGGUUCUCUUCUAUAAACUGCAUCCUCAGUUUUGGAGCCAAGCUUGUCUGCAACUGAGACAAGCCUAUAACCAUAAAGGACUCUUUGCCCAGUUGUUGAAGACCCUACUCUGGGUACAGAGGAGUGAUGUCAUCAAAUAUAGGAGUUAGGUCACAAUUAUCUGUGACAUGGGUUGGGAAGAGUAUUUUCAAAUUGUCGUGUGUUUGGGUGCGUGUCAAAAUAAGAAGAGACUUCCAACAGUUUUAUGAAACAAAAUCUAAAGUUUACUACGACAGAAAAAAACCAGCGUUUUAAGAAAAAUAUAUGCAAAGGUUACAGAAAAUUCCCCAUUGGAGCAAAACAAGCAAAGGGCUUAAGGCUAUCUUCUUCCUAAUUACAUACCCUAGGGUUGAAUUUUGUUGUUUUCCCUACAGCCCCAGCCUUGAGUCCCUCUCUUGAGUCCCUUCCUGAACUAAGGCAGGUUUCACAAGUUAACCCUAUAAUCCACAAUAAACAGACCAGAGAGAUUUGCACCAAACAAGUAAGAUAUGCAUUCCCAUAUAAUACCCAACAGCCCAUAUCAAAGCAGAGACCAUAUAAACAGUCCAUUUCAGCAAGGUUGAAUUCCUUCACAGGAAUUAAAAUAGCUCUGGAACUGGAUUAAAUUGGAUUGAUAUCCCAAAGUCAAGAGGACAACUCCCAUGUUUUGAGCAGCGCUGUAUACUUUCUUGGUGCUAGAGGGUUAUGAGUCAUUCCUGCAAUUUCAAAUUGCAUGCUGAUGCUGGAAUAGGCAAUGUAUAAAUUAAUACAGUGGAUAUCUUAAUAGAAUGUAGGGAUGUAUCCAACUAACUUAUAUUCAGUGUACACCAGCCUCAGUUAGUCGUGUCCAUUAAUUUCCAUGAAUCAAUUCUGAAAAUGACUAAUAUUUAAUAUGACCCAUGCACUUUUAUGAGCAGGGCAAGUUCUUAUACGGAGUGAAUGCUGGAAACCCAGUGUACUGAUAAUCCAAAACUUCACAGGGCAGCUCAACAUAUUGGUCCCUGCCAGUGCCCACUUCUUGUCGUUUUUCUCUCAAUCCCAAGCAAUAGCAGCCAACACAAAUAGAGAUGGUGGUUAGUGUUUUGAAAGUAACUGUAUUUUUCUCGGGGUUUGAGUAUGCCCUGGUGGACAUACACUCACAGCCACCUUGCUAUAUAAAUGACAUCUUUCCUAAAACAAAACAUUUUAACCACAUCCGCCAGUCCCUUUCUGAAAUCCCACCCACCCAAAUCCCUGCCAGCCCCUCACUGUAGAAUCACACCCACCCAAAUCUCCUCUAGAACCUAGGUUGCUAGGGGCAGUUUCUAACAAAACGAGAGAGAUCAGAAAGGACAAAAGCAAAAUCAGAACAUACUAUAUUUAUUACAUUAAAAAAAUAAAAAGAGCAACAUCAUCUACAAGAAAUAAUGGUCCCUCCAUCGCUGUCACACAAGGACAUUUCGGGUGGAUUCAGAUCUCAUAAUCAUUGUAGACUUCAGUAUUUUCAAUUAUUAUUUCAUCUGGAUAGAAGGGAACAGAAGAGAAUGUUUUAUGCCAGUUUUACUCAUUUAUUUACCACAUUUAUGCUCUGACAUUCACCCGAAGGUCCCAGGACAGAAGUACAUAAAAUUCAAACCCAAAGUUCAGUAAUAUUAUUUGACCUCAGUCAAGUCCAGACUAAGGCGAUGGCUGAGUUCAACAUGACCCCAGAGGCCCAGUAGGGCUGCUGCUGGCUCCCAACCAUCACUGUCAUCACCCUCCAGCGAUGGACACCAGUUUCUGCCAUUUGGGCCUGGCAAGAACAUGGCACCUGGCAGUCACACACACACCCUGCUUUGAAAGCCCAGUGGUGCUUUCAGGUAGGAGAUGGAGAGCCAACACUGAUGUCGGGCACUGCAUUUGGGAAAGAGAAGGUGCCCCCUUCAGGCACCCACUCUCCCGUCCAAAAGAAGCACCAAUGUGUAAGCGGAGAGCAGCCUAUCCGGUGAGCUUUGCCAAAGGCCUAUUUGAGUCUGGUGCCAGGCCUGGACUUAGCAAGGGGUCAGGAGUCUCACUGUCCAGAUGAAAUCAAUAAAGGAAGUCUUUACGGU
Molecule: long non-coding RNA, 3235 nt
Organism: Rhineura floridana
Lineage: Eukaryota; Metazoa; Chordata; Lepidosauria; Squamata; Rhineuridae
Exons: 2
Source: RefSeq, a predicted model, not a curated record